GGGCUCUUAGCUCAACCGGUUAGAGCAGCGAACUCAUAAUUCGUUGGUUCCGGGUUCAAGUCCCGGAGGGCCCA
This 74-nucleotide transfer RNA is filed under the name Panacagrimonas perspica. It matches the Rfam family "tRNA". From Rfam's summary of the family: Transfer RNA (tRNA) molecules are approximately 80 nucleotides in length. Their secondary structure includes four short double-helical elements and three loops (D, anti-codon, and T loops). Lineage: Bacteria; Pseudomonadati; Pseudomonadota; Gammaproteobacteria; Nevskiales; Nevskiaceae. The record is from Rfam by way of RNAcentral.